Vicia faba (fava bean) is the source of this 192-nucleotide non-coding RNA. NCBI's taxonomy places the organism in Eukaryota, Viridiplantae, Streptophyta, Magnoliopsida, Fabales, Fabaceae. The record is from the annotation of a GenBank genome assembly.
AUGAAAAGCAUGAAUGACACAAUGGUUGUAGUUGUUGUGUUUCAUGGUCUGAGGAUUGAAAUUCACGGUUAUACCUCCUUGUCAUCAUGCCGGUGUGAAAGAUGUGAUGGGGUUUGUCUUCACAAUAAUGAGGCAGUGGCAGCAUUGGCAGCUCAAGCUGCAGGGGUUAGGAAAUUGUUAAUUUUUUAUUGA